RNAcentral lists this ribosomal RNA (253 nucleotides) under uncultured bacterium. RNAcentral describes it as "partial 16S ribosomal RNA". It matches the Rfam family "Bacterial small subunit ribosomal RNA", at positions 524 to 776 of the family's 1533-position model. The record is from RNAcentral.
UACGAACUGUGCGAACGUUAUUCGGAAUCACUGGGCUUACAGGGUGCGUAGGCGGGCCUUUAAGUCAGUGGUGAAAUCCCCCGGCUUAACCUGGGAACUGCGUCUGAUACUGGGAGGCUUGAGUAUGGGAGAGGGAUGUAGAAUUCCAGGUGUAGCGGUGAAAUGCGUAGAUAUCUGGAGGAACACCGGUGGCGAAGGCGGCAUCCUGGACCAUAACUGACGCUGAGGCGCGAAAGCUAGGGGAGCAAACGGG